UCCUGUGGGCCCCGUGACCCCCAGCCACAGGUGGACAUUCAGAUGUUACAGCUGUUACAGGCAAAUCCCCUGGGUGUGGUCACAGCCCAGUGAACCCUUGCAGCUCCUGGUCUCAGGAACAGCCAACACCAUCAGCCCAUCACACAACAGCUCAGACAACACGAGUGACUCCCACCCCCAGGACUACACAGUGGGGAAU
Molecule: long non-coding RNA, 199 nt
Organism: Phyllostomus discolor (pale spear-nosed bat)
Lineage: Eukaryota; Metazoa; Chordata; Mammalia; Chiroptera; Phyllostomidae
Exons: 3
Source: RefSeq, a predicted model, not a curated record